CGUUUGCAGAAAUGACUUUGUUGAGCUUCUUCUAGGGAUGAUCGGGCUGUUGCCGUCAGAUCCAUUGCCCUAGUAGGAGAGAUCGACUCUGUCAUCGUCGGGCUUCGAUCUUCGUUUGCAGAAAUGACUUUGUUGAGCUUCUUCUAGGGACGAUGGGCUUUUGUCGUCAGAUCUAUCGCCCUAGUAGGAGAGAUCGACUCUGUCAUCGUCGGGCUUCAAUCUUCGUUUGCAGAAAUGACUUUGUUGAGCUUCUUCUAGGGACGAUCGGGCUUCUGCCGUCAGAUCUAUCGCCCUAGUAGGAGAGAUCGACUCUGUCAUUGUUGGGCUUCAAUCUUCGUUUGCAGAAAUGACUUUGUUGAGCUUCUUCUAGGGACGAUCGGGCUUUUGCCGUCAGAUCUAUCGCGCUAGUAGGAGAGAUCGACUCUAUCAUCGUCGGGCUUCGAUCUUCGUUUGCAUAAAUGACUUUGUUGAGCUUCUUCUAGGGACGAUCAGACUUUUGUCGUCAGACCUAUCGCCCUAGUAGGAGAGAUCGACUCUGUCUUCGUCGGGCUUCAAUCUUCGUUUGCUUUUUCUUCCCCCCCCCCCCCCCCCUUUUUUUCUUCUUUCUUUCUUUUUUUUUCUUUUGUUUUUUUGGUUUUUUUCUAUUUCUUCUUCUUC
This 657-nucleotide long non-coding RNA is filed under the name Cucumis sativus (cucumber). RNAcentral describes it as "long non-coding RNA (CSAT_LNC001030)". The record is from RNAcentral. Lineage: Eukaryota; Viridiplantae; Streptophyta; Magnoliopsida; Cucurbitales; Cucurbitaceae.